This 169-nucleotide ribosomal RNA is filed under the name Colletotrichum destructivum. Its description in RNAcentral is "5.8S ribosomal RNA". It matches the Rfam family "5.8S ribosomal RNA". From Rfam's summary of the family: 5.8S ribosomal RNA (5.8S rRNA) is a component of the large subunit of the eukaryotic ribosome. It is transcribed by RNA polymerase I as part of the 45S precursor that also contains 18S and 28S rRNA. Functionally, it is thought that 5.8S rRNA may be involved in ribosome translocation. Lineage: Eukaryota; Fungi; Ascomycota; Sordariomycetes; Glomerellales; Glomerellaceae. The record is from RNAcentral.
CAAAUAAUUAAAACUUUUAACAACGGAUCUCUUGGUUCUGGCAUCGAUGAAGAACGCAGCGAAAUGCGAUAAGUAAUGUGAAUUGCAGAAUUCAGUGAAUCAUCGAAUCUUUGAACGCACAUUGCGCCCGCCAGCAUUCUGGCGGGCAUGCCUGUUCGAGCGUCAUUUC